This 585-nucleotide ribosomal RNA is filed under the name uncultured bacterium. RNAcentral's name for it is "partial 16S ribosomal RNA". It matches the Rfam family "Bacterial small subunit ribosomal RNA", at positions 355 to 1375 of the family's 1533-position model. The record is from RNAcentral.
UGGGGAAUUUUGGACAAUGGGCGAAAGCCUGAUCCAGCAAUGCCGCGUGUGUGAAGAAGGCCUUCGGGUUGUAAAGCACUUUUGUCCGGAAAGAAAUCCUUGGCUCUAAUACAGUCGGGGGAUGACGGUACCGGAAGAAUAAGCACCGGCUAACUACGUGCCAGCAGCCGCGGUAAUACGUAGGGUGCAAGCGUUAAUCGGAAUUACUGGGCGUAAAGCGUGCGCAGGCGGUUUGCUAAGACCGAUGUGAAAUCCCCGGGCUCAACCUGGGAACUGCAUUGGUGACUGGCAGGCUAGAGUAUGGCAGAGGGGGGUAGAAUUCCACGUGUAGCAGUGAAAUGCGUAGAGAUGUGGAGGAAUACCGAUGGCGAAGGCAGCCCCCUGGGCCAAUACUGACGCUCAUGCACGAAAGCGUGGGGGAGCAAACAGGAUUAGAUACCCUGGUAGUCCACGCCCUAAACGAUGUCAACUAGUUGUUGGGGAUUCAUUUCCUUAGUAACGUAGCUAACGCGUGAAGUUGACCGCCUGGGGAGUACGGUCGCAAGAUUAAACUUAAAGGAAUUGACGGGGUCAUAGCUGUUUCCU